Molecule: long non-coding RNA, 301 nt
Organism: Rhagoletis zephyria (snowberry fruit fly)
Lineage: Eukaryota; Metazoa; Arthropoda; Insecta; Diptera; Tephritidae
Source: RefSeq, a predicted model, not a curated record
CUAGCCCACACCUCACAAGAAAAAAGCUCAACGAAAUCACCACACGAGGUGAAAAGCAUUUUGCUGUCUAACAGCGGUUACGUAAAUAAAAGAAAUACAAAAGAUGGAUGCUGAACAACAGGAAAAGCGAAUUUAAAAAGAAAUAACAAAGCAAGAGUAGCUCCAGUACUGCACACAGUUUGCGAUCCACAACUUGGAGCAAAAGUUUGCAUCGAAAUGAAAUCCUAUGCCUGCUCUAACUCUUCCGAAACUGCCGCAAAAACAAGCAAUAACUCCGCCAUUACUGAAUAUACUUUUAGUU